UCCGUUUUAUCAACGGCAGUCUCAGUAGAGUGCCCGGCCGAACCGCUGGCAACUACUGACAAGGGUUGCGCUCGUUGCGGGACUUAACCCAACAUCUCACGACACGAGCUGACGACAGCCAUGCACCACCUGUGACGGUCCAGCCGAACUGACACCUUGUUUCCAAGGUUAUGACCGACAUGUCAAGCCCAGGUAAGGUUCUUCGCGUUGCGUCGAAUUAAGCCACAUGCUCCGCCGCUUGUGCGGGUCCCCGUCAAUUCCUUUGAGUUUUAGCCUUGCGGCCGUACUCCCCAGGCGGAGUGCUUAAUGCGUUAGCUGCGGCACGGAGAGGGUUGAAGACCUCCCCACACCUAGCACUCAACGUUUACGGCUGGGACUAC
This 380-nucleotide unclassified non-coding RNA is filed under the name uncultured bacterium. Its description in RNAcentral is "contains 16S-23S intergenic spacer region". The record is from RNAcentral.